UACGUAGGGUGCAAGCGUUGUUCGGAAUUACUGGGCGUAAAGGGCGCGUAGGCGGUCUUGUAAGUCCCGUGUGAAAUCCCUCGGCUCAACUGAGGAACUGCACGGGAAACUGCUUGGCUUGAGUUCGGGAGAGGGAAGCGGAAUUCCGGGUGUAGCGGUGAAAUGCGUAGAUAUCCGGAGGAACACCGGUGGCGAAGGCGGCUUCCUGGACCGACACUGACGCUGAGGCGCGAAAGCUAGGGGAGCAAACGGG
This 253-nucleotide ribosomal RNA is filed under the name uncultured bacterium. Its description in RNAcentral is "partial 16S ribosomal RNA". It matches the Rfam family "Bacterial small subunit ribosomal RNA", at positions 524 to 776 of the family's 1533-position model. The record is from RNAcentral.